UACAGAGGUCUCGAGCGUUAGGCGGAAUCACUGGGCGUAAAGAGCGUGUAGGCGGCCAAGCAGGUCCGUUGUGAAAACUGGAGGCUUAACCUCCAGACGUCGACGGAAACCGCGUGGCUAGAGUCCGGAAGAGGAGAGUGGAAUUCCUGGUGUAGCGGUGAAAUGCGCAGAUAUCAGGAAGAACACCAAUGGCGAAGGCAGCUCUCUGGGACGGUACUGACGCUGAGACGCGAAAGCGUGGGGAGCGAACAGG
Molecule: ribosomal RNA, 253 nt
Filed under: uncultured bacterium
Lineage: Bacteria
Description: partial 16S ribosomal RNA
Rfam family: Bacterial small subunit ribosomal RNA
Source: RNAcentral